AGAAAGUGCUGAGAUGCGUGCAAGUGUGUAUCGAUGAAUAUCUUAGAAAUUGUCCAUAAAGACGGAGGAAAAAUAUAAGAAAUGGAAAUUGCUAGUCCGCAGUCGUGUCGAAAAGUAAUAGCCAAAGUACUAAGAAAGAUGCAUACAAAUUUGAAGCUUUAGCUAUUCCUGUGAAGUCGUUCCAACACUGAACACCAUCCUGUAGUCAAACGUGGAGAAUUCCUACCUCACGUAACUUUCAAACCAUAACCUUAAAGUUUCGGAUGUUUCGAACUUGUAACAGUGACUUUAAAUUAAUCCAUAUCUUGUCGUUAUAAAGUAACCAGACAAGAAUCGCAAAUCGAACUUGAUAGAUCGUAAUUGCCGUGCUUGUGAACUAUGAACUUAAUACGUGACGAGAUGAAACCUAAAUAACAAUCGCUCGAUUCAAUCCAAUAAAAUACGUUCGUAUGUAUUGGUAAUAAUAUCUGUGCAUUGAUGUACAGUGUACAUUAAUAGACGGUACAACUGUAGAAUUAUUAUUAGCGAUUAUUAAUUUGGGAUUAUUAUUGUAUAUGGCGAAGAUAUUCAUAAAUGAGUAUCGUCAAAAUUAAAAUUAAAAAAUUUCACUGCCAUUAAGAAAAAUAUGAAUACAAAUGUAAAAUAAUUAACCGAUUGGACGAAAUGAUUUAAUUUGACAUCGACGAUAAACUUUUGAAUGUAAAAUGUUUGUAUAUUGUAUAUUACAUGAAAUGCCCACACGCUAUCAAUAACACGUGUUCCACUGCAAAUAACUAGUCCAGAUAAUUUUUUAAUGAAUAAAUUACUCCCGAAUGGAGAAACUAUAAAAA
This is a long non-coding RNA of Bombus pyrosoma, 830 nucleotides long. RefSeq lists it as uncharacterized. NCBI's taxonomy places the organism in Eukaryota, Metazoa, Arthropoda, Insecta, Hymenoptera, Apidae. The transcript has 2 exons. The record is from RefSeq and is a predicted model, not a curated record.